GGGAAGAGCCCAGCGCCGAAUCCCCGGCCUUCGGUCGAGGGAAAUGUGGCGUUUGGGAGUGAGCGUGCCGGGUUCGCGACGGACGGCAAGUCCCCCUGACCGGGGCCUGUCCGCAGCGGGUGCGAGGCCCGUAGCCGUCGGUCGCGUCUCGGACGCGAUCUCCUCGGAGUCGGGUUGCUUGGGAGUGCAGCCCCAAUCGGGUGGUAAACUCCACCUAAGGCUAAAUACGGCCGUGAGACCGAUAGCAAACAAGUACCGUGAGGGAAAGUUGCAAAGAACUUUGAAGAGAGAGUUCAAGAGUACGUGAAACUGCUCAGAGGUAAACGGGUGGGCCCUCGAAAUCCUGUGGCGAGGGGAUUCAGUCUGGCGAAGGCGACUCGUAGCCUCGGCGGCGUCCAGUCUCCUCUGGGCCGCCGGGCAACCGAGGCCUCGUCGUUGCCAGACGCAUUUGUCUCUCGUCCGAAGGACGCUGCGGCCGGUCGGGCAGUGCAAGCGCGUCGGCCUUGAGGAGGGGAGCCGGCAGGUGGCCGGUGGCGCGCCUCGUGUGCGUCGCCGGUUGUUAGCCAUCCCCUCGGUGGCACGACGCCCGACCGUGGUGUCGCGAGGCCCUUUCUGGGCCCCCGCGUCUCCUCCCCCAGUCGUGGCGGGACAGACGGCCGCAGGCGAACCCCGCCUCCCGCCGCACUCCUCCGGAGUGGGCGGGCGAACGGGCGACGUCGCUGGUGGCCGCGGACCCGCGGGAGGUCGGAGGCAGGCAGCGAGUAGGUCGGUCACCCACCCGACCCGUCUUGAAACACGGACCAAGGAGUCUAACAUGUGCGCGAGUCAAUGGGGCUUGGACAGGCCCAGGGGCGCAAUGAAAGCGAAGGUCGUGCAAAUCGACCGAGUCGGGAUCCUCCCUCGAGAGGGGGAGGCGCACCGACGACCCGUCCCGUUCGGCUCGCCGUUGGGACGGAGUUUGAGCGUACACGUUGGGACCCGAAAGAUGGUGAACUAUGCCCGGACAGGACGAGGCCAGAGGAAACUCUGG
This 1030-nucleotide ribosomal RNA is filed under the name Cylistella sp. CLGRY. RNAcentral's name for it is "eukaryotic LSU rRNA". It matches the Rfam family "Eukaryotic large subunit ribosomal RNA", at positions 100 to 867 of the family's 3401-position model. Lineage: Eukaryota; Metazoa; Arthropoda; Arachnida; Araneae; Salticidae. The record is from RNAcentral.